Molecule: ribosomal RNA, 528 nt
Filed under: uncultured bacterium
Lineage: Bacteria
Description: bacterial SSU rRNA
Rfam family: Bacterial small subunit ribosomal RNA
Source: RNAcentral
AGAGUUUGAUCCUGGCUCAGAUUGAACGCUGGCGGCAUGCCUUACACAUGCAAGUCGAACGGAUUGAGGGGCUUGCUCCUCAGUUAGUGGCGAACGGGUGAGUAAUGCAUCGGAACGUACCCAGUCGUGGGGGAUAACUACUCGAAAGAGUAGCUAAUACCGCAUACGUCCUGAGGGAGAAAGCGGGGGACUCGCAAGAGCCUCGCGCGAUUGGAGCGGCCGAUGUCAGAUUAGCUAGUUGGUAGGGUAAAAGCCUACCAAGGCGACGAUCUGUAGCUGGUCUGAGAGGACGACCAGCCACACUGGGACUGAGACACGGCCCAGACUCCUACGGGAGGCAGCAGUGGGGAAUUUUGGACAAUGGGCGAAAGCCUGAUCCAGCCAUGCCGCGUGAGUGAAGAAGGCCUUCGGGUUGUAAAGCUCUUUCGGACAGAAAGAAAUCGCACGGGCUAAUACCCAGUGUGGAUGACGGUACUGUAAGAAGAAGCACCGGCUAACUACGUGCCAGCAGCCGCGGUAAUCAAUCGC